AGAAUCAACGCUGGCGGCGUGCCUAACACAUGCAAGUCGAACGCGAAAGGGGAGCAAUCCCUGAUUAGAGUGGCAAACGGGUGAGUAACACGUGGGUGACCUGCCUUCGAGUGGGGGAUAACCUUCCGAAAGGAGGGCUAAUACCGCAUGACAUACCGUGUUUGGAUACACGGAUAUCAAAGCCGGGGAUCGCAAGACCUGGCGCUUGGAGACGGGGCCCGCGUCCGAUUAGCUAGGUUGGUGAGGUAACGGCUCACAAGGCUCCGAUCGGUACUCCGGCCUGGAGACGGGGCGUACGGACACGACUGGAACUGGAGCGACGUCAGACUCCGAGGAGCAGCAGGUGGGAUUGUACACAGU
Molecule: ribosomal RNA, 360 nt
Filed under: uncultured soil bacterium
Lineage: Bacteria
Description: bacterial SSU rRNA
Rfam family: Bacterial small subunit ribosomal RNA
Source: RNAcentral